GAGGGGCAAGCGUUGUUCGGAAUUACUGGGCGUAAAGGGCGCGUAGGCGGCCUGCUAAGUCGAACGUGAAAUCCCUGGGCUCAACCCAGGAACUGCGUCCGAUACUGGUUGGCUUGAAUCCGGGAGAGGGACGUGGAAUUCCAGGUGUAGCGGUGAAAUGCGUAGAUAUCUGGAGGAACACCGGUGGCGAAGGCGACGUCCUGGACCGGCAUUGACGCUGAGGCGCGAAAGCCAGGGGAGCAAACGGGAUUAGAUACCCCGGUAGUCCUGGCCCUAAACGAUGAAUGCUUGGUGUGGCGGGUAUCGAUCCCUGCCGUGCCGAAGCUAACGCAUUAAGCAUUCCGCCUGGGGAGUACGGUCGCAAGGCUG
Molecule: ribosomal RNA, 369 nt
Filed under: uncultured organism
Description: bacterial SSU rRNA
Rfam family: Bacterial small subunit ribosomal RNA
Source: RNAcentral